UUUAUUGUGUUUUUUGGCGGAAAUCAUAUUCCUAAUCUGUAGGUCACAGGUUCGAUUCCUGUCGGGAUCACCA
RNAcentral lists this transfer RNA (73 nucleotides) under Mesorhizobium opportunistum WSM2075. Its description in RNAcentral is "tRNA-Arg". The record is from RNAcentral. Lineage: Bacteria; Pseudomonadati; Pseudomonadota; Alphaproteobacteria; Hyphomicrobiales; Phyllobacteriaceae.